GCUGCAACCUACGGGGUGUACUUGGGAACGAGGGGUGAAGCGGCCCAGGUGAGGCUCGCCAUGGCCAAACAGCUGCAGGCCCGAAGGCUAGACGGGAUCGACUACAACCCCUGGGUGGAGUUUGUGAAACUGGCCAGUGAGCAUGACGUCGUGAACUUGGGCCAGGGCUUCCCGGAUUUCCCACCACCAGACUUUGCCGUGGAAGCCUUUCAGCACGCUGUCAGUGGAGACUUCAUGCUUAACCAGUACACCAAGACAUUUGGUUACCCACCACUGACGAAGAUCCUGGCAAGUUUCUUUGGGGAGCUGCUGGGUCAGGAGAUAGACCCGCUCAGGAAUGUGCUGGUGACUGUUGGUGGCUAUGGGGCCCUGUUCACAGCCUUCCAGGCCCUGGUGGACGAAGGAGACGAGGUCAUCAUCAUCGAACCCUUUUUUGACUGCUACGAGCCCAUGACAAUGAUGGCAGGGGGUCGUCCUGUGUUUGUGUCCCUGAAGCCGGGUCCCAUCCAGAAUGGAGAACUGGGUUCCAGCAGCAACUGGCAGCUGGACCCCAUGGAGCUGGCCGGCAAAUUCACAUCACGCACCAAAGCCCUGGUCCUCAACACCCCCAACAACCCCCUGGGCAAGGUGUUCUCCAGGGAAGAGCUGGAGCUGGUGGCCAGCCUUUGCCAGCAGCAUGACGUGGUGUGUAUCACUGAUGAAGUCUACCAGUGGAUGGUCUACGACGGGCACCAGCACAUCAGCAUUGCCAGCCUCCCUGGCAUGUGGGAACGGACCCUGACCAUCGGCAGCGCCGGCAAGACCUUCAGCGCCACUGGCUGGAAGGUGGGCUGGGUCCUGGGUCCAGAUCACAUCAUGAAGCACCUGCGGACCGUGCACCAGAACUCCGUCUUCCACUGCCCCACGCAGAGCCAGGCUGCAGUAGCCGAGAGCUUUGAACGGGAGCAGCUGCUCUUCCGCCAACCCAGCAGCUACUUUGUGCAGUUCCCGCAGGCCAUGCAGCGCUGCCGUGACCACAUGAUACGUAGCCUACAGUCAGUGGGCCUGAAGCCCAUCAUCCCUCAGGGCAGCUACUUCCUCAUCACAGACAUCUCAGACUUCAAGAGGAAGAUGCCUGACUUGCCUGGAGCUGUGGAUGAGCCCUAUGACAGACGCUUCGUCAAGUGGAUGAUCAAGAACAAGAGAUGCUGUGUGGGCUGGCAGGAUUUCCUGCCUCUUUGGAUCUCCAUCUUCCCAUCUGUACAGUGAGGAGUUGGCCCAUUAACUCUUGAGUUCAUCCAGGUUUGAUCUGUGACUCUAAGGCUUUGUUCUUCUCUGGCUCUGCCCUGACCUGCUCCAUGAUCCUCCCUCUGUCAGCCUCCCUCUGCCCUCUAUACCCAGGGAGGGACUUGGAAUGAUGUUCUGGGAUUCUUUUCUUCUGACUUUGUGUUUGUUUUUGUUUUGGAUGGAUUUUCUCUCUUUCGCCCAGGCUGCGGUGAAGUGGCGCAAUCUGGCUCACUGCAACCUCCACCCCCGGGUUCAAGCAAUUCUCCUGCCUCAGCCUCCCAAGUAGCUGGGAUUACAGGCAUGCGCCACCACACCCGGCCAAUUUUUGUAUUUUUGGUAGAGACGGGGUUUAGCCAUGUUGGCCAGGCUGGUCUUGAACUCCUGACCUCAGGUGAUCCACCCGUCUCAGCCUCCCAAAGUGCUGGGAUUAUAGGCGUGAGCCACCGCACCUGGCCUUGUUCCUCUGACUUUGAUGCAGCUCUAGGUGCUGGAUUGGAGCUAACUCUCCUUCCCCGCCUGGUCGUGGGAACCUCUCUGUCCCCUCCGGAGCCAAGGCCUGCUGGGCCACGAGGCCGUGUUGAGACAUGUCCUUCCUCCUCCCCAGGGCUUGGUGGCCAUCCCUGUCUCCAUCUUCUAUAGUGUGCCACAUCAGAAGCACUUUGACCACUAUAUCCGCUUCUGUUUUGUGAAGGAUGAAGCCACGCUCCAGGCCAUGGACGAGAAGCUGCGGAAGUGGAAGGUGGAACUCUAGCCCUGAAGUCACGCCUUGGCCCUGACAUCCCCACAUGCCCGCAGAGAUCCUCUUUGAGUGUCUGUCUUUGUCCAGGUUUCAGACAUUUCUAGGUUGGGGAAGAUGCUAUUGGGAAACCUCUUCUCCGUGACACAGAAUGUUCUGGGUGGGAGCCGCCCUUCUUCAUCUUAGAGAACCAAGUGCCUCCUGUCUGAAAGGUGAGGGUGGCCUGACCUGGGCCUCUCCCUGCCCCUCCAUAGGUGGGUUUGUAGGGUCUUGUGUUGCUUCUGGUCUCUCCAGGCUUGGCUGAGACGGACGGUAGACUUCCACCAUGUACCGAUCACAUCCCAGCUCUGCAUGGCCCCUGCUAAGGCUCAGGUAUAACCUCACCUUCCCUGGCUCAUCUUGGCCUUGGGGAGUUGCCUUUAGGCUUGAGUCCUCAAGCCUCUCCUUUUCGUCCAUAAUAAAAUGUUUAAGUUAUUAAGAUCCUUAUUGACGGCUUCUCUCUGCUUCACACUCAUGCUGAUGGCUGAUCUAACUUGUGAAGAAUGCCCAGAAGAACCUCAGACACCCCCACAACUUUGUACAAAUGGUUACUGUAGUCACAUAGUGGCACAACCAGGCCUAGCACCCAAGGCCCUCAAAUGAAUUCCUCACUAUUAA
Molecule: RNA transcript, 2659 nt
Organism: Homo sapiens (human)
Lineage: Eukaryota; Metazoa; Chordata; Mammalia; Primates; Hominidae
Gene: KYAT1
Gene name: kynurenine aminotransferase 1
Exons: 13
Source: RefSeq, marked reviewed